This 202-nucleotide unclassified non-coding RNA is filed under the name Hevea brasiliensis (rubber tree). Lineage: Eukaryota; Viridiplantae; Streptophyta; Magnoliopsida; Malpighiales; Euphorbiaceae. The record is from RNAcentral.
CUUGGGCCCUAGUUCAUUCUAGGCAACCCGAAGACGUGAACCGUGGGAUAGCAAUGCUAGAAGCCUCUCUGGACAGUGGAAGUAGCCCCCUGCAACUGAGGGAGAAGUUUUAUCUUUUAGCUGUUGGGCAUUACAGAAGUGGGGACUACCCAAGGAGUCGGCAGCUUCUAGAACGAUGCUUGGAGAUUGCACCGGAAUGGAG